Mirounga angustirostris (Northern elephant seal) is the source of this 12792-nucleotide long non-coding RNA. RefSeq lists it as uncharacterized. The transcript is spliced from 3 exons. NCBI's taxonomy places the organism in Eukaryota, Metazoa, Chordata, Mammalia, Carnivora, Phocidae. The record is from RefSeq and is a predicted model, not a curated record.
AGUGACGAGGAGGUGACAAGAAGUUGGAGAGCAAUGCACUGCAACACUGUUGCCCGUGCUGGCCCCUCUGCAGUGCGGAGGCCCAGUACACGCCUCCCUCUGUCCACUCCAAGUCUGGCACCCCGGGGGGGCCAUAAGCAAGCAGAGCUCUUCCCUCCUAAGCGUGGACUGGAGCAGGAAUUUAGGAAAGGCACGAUGGGAACGCAGCAAAGAACAAAAGAAGUGAAAAUCCCUCCCCUCAAAGAGCUAACCUUCUCAUGGAGAAAGAGAGACAAUGCAUAAGCAGCCCAACAGGCAGCUGGCCACAUGGAGAAGAGACAAUGGCGAGGAAAAACCCUGGUGAAGUGGGAAGCCGUUGGUGGGCUCUGGACAGAGGAAGAUGUGUGCUGACUCAUGCUUUAGGAGAGUCCUUGUGGCUGCUGCAUUGGGAAGAGAUAGAGCGGUAGGGUCCUGGAUACACUGUGAGCACGUUGCUGGAUGCUGGUCAUGAGAAAGAGAAGCCAGGGAGGAUCUGAUUUUGGCCUGAGCACCUGGUGAGUGACCUCUGGGUGAUGGAGGAGUUCUCAUUCCCCGCCUGGGCUGGCCCGGCACUCAGCCACACUGCAGCUCGUCCCUGCAUUCCCCCCCUGAGCUCAUAUUUACUGUUUUCAGCAGUGCGGGAGAGAAAGCUGACUCAGAUUUGUUCAGUCAUUUAUUCUCUCAGCAAACAUUUAUUGAGCUCUUGCUAUGUGCCGGACACAUGGUAGGAGCUGGAAGUCUGUAGUGGUCUCUGUCCCCAUGGAGCGCACAGCCCCUCAGAGCAGAGAGGUGUGGAUCAGGUGAAGAUGGGCACAGGGAGUAAGCAAAGGGCUUCGUGGGACAGGAGAAGCACCAGAGGGAGGCCCCUCCACUCCACCAGGAGGCAGGCCAGUGCGAGCUGGAGAGGAUGAGGCUGGGAGGAGGAGGGCAGAGACGUGACAGGGAUGACACACCAGGAGGAUCAGAGGAGCAGGGACGGCGACACCCGGGAGCUUACACGGAGGGCAGGGCAGUCCAAGCAGCCUUCUUACAGAACAGUUGUUUAAGACCAAGUUGAAAGGCCGAGAAGGAGCCCAGGCGGCAGGUCAGGGUGCAGCAAGACCCAGAGGGGCAGUGGCCCGUGUGAGAGACCAGAGAGACCAGGGUGAAGCAAGACCCAAGCCUGACCAAGUGGCCCGUGUGAGAGGUCAGGAAGGCCCUGGGGAGCUCCGGGAACUACCCUGAAGUGUCAGUCAGCUCUUGCUCUGUAACAAACCACCCUCAAAUGGAGCACUUGAAACCACAGCCUCUGAUUUUGCUGGUGAGUCUGUGGAUCAGCAGCUUGGGCUGGGCUCUGUUGAGUGGUCCUCCACCUGCACUUGGCUGGGCUCACUCCUGUGUCUGAGGUCAGUGGGCAGGUUGUUGGAGCCGGGGGCCUUGGGGGGCCUUGGGUGAGAGAGGGCUCCCCACUGCCCCCCUGUGGGCUAGCUUGGGCAGCUGGGCAGGGGUGUGUGUGCAAGGUGCAAGGCCUAGGACGCCCAGGCUCAGAGCAGCACGACCUCACUGCUGCCACUUUCUGUGGAACAGGGUGAGUAGCAGCCCAGCCCAGACUCGAAGGAUAAAGAAGCACUCCAUGUCCGACAGGAGGACCUGGAGGGAUGUCGUUGUACCUGCUGUGGUCGGUGGGCUGGACUCAAGAGUGAGGAAGGGUGUGGGGUGGCUGCAGGGGGCAGAGUCUGUGUUGUGCAAGGGGAAACCGCUUAACUAGGGACUUACUCUCAUGCACAUCUUUCCAAAGUGGGAAUGGAUUGGAGCAGACAAGAGUAGAUGUGGGAAGAGGCCUUGUGGAUGAGAGGCAGGUGGUAUGGACAAAGUCCCAGGGACUGGGGAUGGAGAGGCAGAAAGAGAAUCUACAGGACUAAGUGAUGGUCAGCCGUGGGGCUGGGAAGAGGGUGUUGGGGGUGACCUUUCAGGAUCUGGACCCCAGAGUUCCCUGCCCAGAUGACUUGGAGCCUGCUCCCAGGCCCGACCCUCCCAAAGGGACACUGCAUCACAGGCCCGUUAGGCCUAGGAGGGGAAGGGUGCUGUUUGUGGAGGCGGGCGUGGGUGUGGACAGAGCUUGGGCCCCGGUGUCCAUGCAGGCAUGAGUGCACUAGACCCUGAGACUCGGGAUGGAGCCAGGAAGGGAGGAGAAGCAGGUGGAUGGUGGCUCCAUUUCCCUCUCACCCCGAGUUCCACAAAUACUAGGGGUGAGCCUGCUGGGGUCGGGGAGAGGAAUAACCGAGGGCUGGUGGUGUCUCAGAGACACUCACGUGGAGAUGCAGACAGGUGACUGGAUUCAAAAGACCGGAAUUCAGGGGAGAGAUCCCAGCAGGAGAUAGAAAUUUGAAAGUCACUGGCAAAAAGAUGGAAUACAAGCCACACACACAGAUGGAGUCACCGGGAAAAGACUGAUCCCAGGGCGUAGUAUGAUUCUGAAGGUUUGUUGAAUUUUGAUGAGAGGGAAAGAAAAAAGUUCCUCCCCUCAGAAUGAAUAGGCUGCUUGACACAGGAGUAUAAGAAAAUGGCUGAUUUCAUUGCUGAUGAGAUAAAGAAGGCCUCAAAUCCAUGGCCCGUGGGCAAGGAGGAUGAAAGGAAAAGAAAAAUCUACACAACCAAGCCGUAGUACUGGAACAGCGAUGGGAUCUGUGGACACGGGAGAGUACUUGACAAGCCUCCAGAAAGCAGGAGUCAGAGGCUUGGCGACCCGUGCACGAACAGCAGAGUUCCUCUUCAGGGCAAGACACAUAGCUGCGAUACACAAGCCAACGGCCUGGAGCAGAGGAAGAAGCAAGGCAGGAUGGAAACCCAUGUGGAUUAGCGUCUACCCACUAAUAAACUAAACUAGACAAACCUGAAAACUCAGCGGCCACAUACAGCUGGGACAUUUGUAUGUAAUUGCAGAACCAUGCCAAGCCCCCAGAAGCUUCCCGGCUGAAAAUAGAAAUUACUUAAAAGACUUAUGAGCUUCAAAAUGUACUCCUGAGAAACAGUCCUGAGUGACAGAAACUCUCCAGGGGGAAGAAUUAGACAAAAGGGUUUUAUGACCAGCUUGAGCUGCGUCCCGACAGGGAGCUUCUGUGGCCUGCAGCUGUGGUUCUGUCUCAGCCCGCUGCCCCUGGGCCAAGAGGGCUUCUCUUGGUGCUGGCGUUUUCCUUCUCUAUUUCCCAGGUGAGGAAACUGAGGCCCAGAUAGGGCCAGACAUGUGAAGGCCACACAACUGGCAGGUCUGUGUGUCUGGGGCCUCGCCCCCUACAUCGUUCUGCCUUCCCCAGUGGUCAGUAUCCCCUAGAGGCCCUUAAUGCAGGCCCCACUCCGUGACCCAGCAUCCUUCUGGUGACCACUGCUCUUGGCUCCUGUCAAUGGCUCCUCCCAGGCCCUGGGAGCCAGGCUCCCCGUACCUCUGGUCCCCUGUCCAGCCCUGCCUGCCCGCUCUGGUGGGCAGCCGGUUCCACCCCCAGUAGAUGACAACGCUUCCACCCCCUCAUCGAGCCAUGCUCUGUGCCAGGUAACUAUUGUCACGGCUCCCAUUCCUCACAAGGUAGGAUGGCGAUUCGGGGAAGUCGAGGGCCUUGCUUGAGUUUCCACCUCCAGUGAGGAUGCAGGUGGGACUGCCUGGGGUCAGACCCAAGCCUGACUUCUUGCCCAUCUGCUGGCUCACCUCUCUGACAAGGGCUCAGUGUUCUAUUUUCUUUACAAACAUCUUCCUUCAGGGUGAGGGUUGUGACUUUUUUGUCCAAAACAUGUGGCUCUUCGAGAGCCUGGGCUCUGGCUUCAGGUGACUUGAAUUCAAAUCUGGCCUCUGCCAUCUUUGAGCUGUGUGACCUGGGGUGAGUUCCUCUACUUCUCUGUGCCUUGGUGUCCUUAUCUAUCCAACAGGACCGUGAGUGCUGCAGCUCUAUAAGGCCAUGUGAGCAUUAAAUGGAUUAAUACUGGCAAAGCACUUGCAACAGAGCCUGGCCCGGGCUAAGCUCUUGGUCCCACUGAGAGUCCUGCUGGCUUCACACGGUGGCUGAUGCUCGGCCUCAGACAUCCUUAUCCAGUUUACAGGAAGAGUCUCCAGGUGGUCUCCUGGCUUCUACCUCACCCAACCUCACCCCUCUCCUUUGACUCUCCCCGUGUUGCUGUGGCCACCUUGAUUUCUCAACUACACCAGGCCAGCUGCCUCAGGACCUUUGCACUGUUUCCUCUUCCCUUCACCUUUGAGACUGCUGUCACUUUCUCAACAAGCCCUGGUCCUACUGGCCUGUUCCACAUUGCAGCCUGCAUCUCCGGCCUGAACACAUCACUUGGCUCCACUUCUUAUUUCUCCACAGUAUAUCUCUCUUCUGACCUUCUCUAUCAUUUUCUGUCUGAGUCUUUCUGCUGUCUGUUUUCUAUCUUCCUCCAAUAGACUACAAGCUCCUCGAGGACAGAAAUCUUUGCCUAUGUGUUUGCUGACGUGGCUCAAAUGCCCAGAGAGUAGCUGACACCCAGCAGGGAUGAGUAAUGCUGACAGAACUGGGGAUGUUCUUGAGUGUCCUUGCAUGGAAGGGGGAGGCCUGCACCUCAGACCCCACACUGCCUGACUGCCAUGUGCCCAGACCACAAUCCGAAUCAGACUUCUGUGGCCCUAGCUGUUCUCGCCCCUGAAUUUUCCUGGCUACACGCGCAGUGCUGUAUGGGAAACAUUUGCUUUUGCAAGAAGUGGCCAGAGGCAUGGAAAAAAGCCCCAGCGAGGACCAGGACCAGCUAAAGACCCAUUUCCAGGCAGCUGAAGAGGCCUUGAUCCUGAGGAUGGAGGAUGGCCUGAGGUUGGGUGGGGGUAGUUGGGAGAAGAAGAUGCCAGAAGAUUCGGAGACUGGAUGCCCUGGCAGAGGCCUCCAGUUACCCUAAAUAUAGAGGCCGGGCCCUGUAGGGUUGAGACAGUGAUCCCCCCCUCCCUAGCCCACAAGAGGAAUGGGAGCUGGCAGGGCUGAUGGUAGGCAAAAGGGUUAGGAGUCCGUUAACCCAAUUUUGCCUUCCCCCCCCCCUUUUUUUAAUUUAAGUAGGCUCCGUGGCCAGCACGGAGCCCAGCGUGGGGCUUGAACUCACGACCCUGAGAUCAAGACCUGAGCCGAGAUCAAGAAUCGGAGGUUUAACAGACCGAGCCACCCAGGAGCCCCUGACUCUUUGAUUCUCUUGUCAAAAGUCAAUGAGAUAUGAGAUACCUUGCAGAUAUUAACCCAACUUUUAAAAUGCAAAUACCCUUAGGGCGCCUGGGUGGCUUGGCUGGUUGAGUGUCCGACUCUUGAUUUUGGCUCUGGUGGUGAUCUCAGGGUCCUGGGAUUGAGCCCUGUGUUGGGGUCCACACUCAGCAGGGAGUCUUGCUUGAGGGUUCUCUCCCUCUGCCCCUCCCGCCUCAUGCUCUUUCUCUCUCUAGAAUAAAUAAAAAAAUCUUUUAAAAAAAUACAAAUACCCUUGACCUGACCCCCCUCCUCCCCUUACCCUGCCCAGCCCAUUAUGCUACAGGAGGGGCUGACCGUGAAUGGUGAGUCAUAUGCACAGUGGAACUGUCUGAGAUGUCAGGGAAUGUCCCCUGUGUCCAUAUGGAGCAGCCUCAGGGAGAUUAUUAAGGAUCAUGUGUAUGCGUGCGCACGUGUGUGUGUGUGUUAGAAUCCACGUUGUAUAUUAAAGAUGGCCAUCCUUUUCUGCUGAACGUAUCCGUAGAAAUGGCCACAGAGUGGCCUCUGGGAAGGGCGCUGUGGGAGGGGGUGGCAGUAGGAGGGACUCUGGAUCUUCACUGAACACCAUUUUCUACCUUUGGCUUAUUUGCUGUGAGCGUAAAUUACAUAGAAGAAUCCGCUACACUGAAAACAAACAUAGGCGGCUAUGGUUCCAGCAGUGGGCACGCUGGGCACUCUCUCAUCCACGGUACCAGACUUCCAUUCCCUAGCGUUCUACUCGGGCCUCAGCUCAGGGCAGGCACGUGGUGUGUUCUGUUUUGAACCAGGGAGAGCCCACUCCUAAGUCACUGGGAAGCAGGCUGAGAGAAUGCAGCAGUCCUGGGCCACAUGAGCCCAGGACCUUGGAUCCAGGGCUGAUGGCAGGAUAGGAAGGGCCCUGCACAACUUCCCACUGCCCUCGGCUGGAAGCAAGCCUUUCCGGCUGGCCUGCUUACCUCCACUUCACUACCUGUGCUCAUCAUGCUAUGUACAUACUGGCCUUCUCUCUGUCUCACCUCAGUGCCUUAGCACGUGCCGAGCUCUUGGCUAGCAAUGCUCAUGUGUGACUCUGAGCCUGGCUGGGCGCUUCCAUGUAAAUGCCCCAAAGGAAGCCUGUCUUGAUAUGGCAGUAUCACUAUACCUCCUGCUCCCCUUUUUUCCUGCCUCCGUCUACGGCUGAUUUUCUUCAUCCACAUUACAGGGAGGCUCCCUUCCUGACAGGUAUUUAUGUAAGUGCCUGGAGCGUGAGCUAUGUGGGUCUUGUCUCCUACCUUCUCCUCAGCACCCAGCACACAGCCUGCACUUGGUAGCUACCACGCACACCUUUUCUUUCCUUUCCCUUUUGAUAGUAUCCUUUUCUUUGGCUUUUGUUCUUAACAACGCUGAUUACACCUUACUGAAAGGAUCCCAUGACCCGCGACUGGGUUCUAACUUGUAGCUGGACAGAGGGAUAAAGAUGCCUGCAAACGACCGUGGAGGGAAGGUGUGCCAUGCAGGCCUGCCUCUGUCCCUGCCCCUUCCCUCCCCUUCCCUGAGCACGUGCCCCUUCCCUGAGCAUAUAAUCGGAGAUAAUGGAAUGUCACACAUCUCCCUUCAUCCCGCUGGGUUGAGUUGGACCCCCACCCCAAAUACCAUCCCAGGCUGAGCUCUGCCGCCAUUGUUGUUUGCCUUCACCUUCAGAAUAUUCCAGCAUGAUCCCCCUUAACCGAAAUGACACACCUAGGUGGUGACACACCCAGGAUGCCCUGGAAUGGAUGGACCAGCCAGGAAAAUAUUUAACAGGGGGUGAGCUGCCCUGUCCCGACCCCCAGGGGUCCCCUGCUCCCAGCCAUGCCUCUGCCCUGGGCUGCCAGUAACAGAGGGAAGCACCUCACACAGCCAGCUCUGCCCCGGCAUUCUGACCAGUGGCGGCCUGCAUCCUCCAGCGGGCAGAUACUCUGAGUGUCCUCCCUGCUCUCAACGCCUGUGUUGAGCAGGGCUCAGCUCCAGGCCUUGUGCCUUGACAUCUGCUCUCUCCACUCCACCCCACCCUGUUCGCUCCACCACAGUUUUUCAUUUGUGUUUUUCCAUGAGCCUUCAAAGAGGAAACAAAACCUUUUCCUUACCGGAGCCCAAUCCAAUCCCUGGCUAGUCCAGAGGUUCCACCACCCUUAUUCCUAAAGCCAUUUGCAUUUCCUCUGCCACUACUUGGUCAGAGCCAGCACCAUCUCCCGCCGGGCUCCUCCACUCCCAUCUGUCUCCUCCUCAGUGGCCACUCUCCACUCACCACCCCCCUUCUCUGCCCUCUGCCUAGUCCUGGAGGCUGACCUUGCACCUCACCGGGGCGCCUUUGCGGUUCGGCCAAUAGGAGGCGCUGCAGGCAAUGGGAGGCGGGAGCAGAGAGGGGUAAGGAGCUUUCCCCAGCGCCAGGGUUCUGACCUGCUGCUGGCCCCUGUCUUCCCACUCCAGUCCUCCGGCUCCUUCUGGCCUUGGUGGGAGUCACUGUUUGCUGCACUGCCCCUCACCUGCCCCACCUCUGUCAAGAGCCCUAUCAUUGAUUCAAGUAUCACCCGUUUGAGUGCAUUGUCUUGUCCCUCGGGGACACUGGUGGACUGAUACGCCCCAUACACUCCCUUUUGCAUACAACAGCAGAACAGUCUUUUUAAAACCUAAAUCUGGUCCAGUCUCUCUCUCCCCUGAGCACUUCAGUGGACUCCCAUUGCUCUGAGAAUACAAACACAAAUCUUUAUUACCAUCGACAAUAGUGCCUGUUAAAUUGCCAGUUGCGGGCCCUUAGCGGGUCAGGAGGUUAAUUGCAUGGGUUGCAUUUUUUUUUACUUUCUUUUUUCUCCUCGGUUUAAUGACAUGAGGGCAGAGUAGACCGAGUACAAAACACCAGCGCUCACUGCAGGGAGCCCAGGUUAGGUGAUGGUGUGAGACUUUUGGUAACAUGCAAGCUGGGUGAGCCAGAAGGUGAUGUCUCUCUGUGGGUUGUGAUGCCAAAUGUUGGAAUCACCGGACUUCCUUCACCUCCUCUCCACGCCUUGGCCUCAUCCCCACAUCUCCCUGGCUCCCAGCCUCUGCUUCAUGUCAGUGCCUCAAACCCACAGGCUCUUUCCUGCCAGGGGCCUUGGCAUUUGCUGUUCCUUUGGCCAGGAUUGCCCUUCCCUUAGUUCUUCCCAAGAAUUCCUUCUCACACCAAUGUCACCUCCGAGAGGCCCUCUCAGGUUGGCCCACCUGGAGCAGCUUCCCUCUGUCUGUCGCCAUCCUGGGACAUGGGUGCAUUAGAAUCUCCAUGAGGACAUAAAAAGCUGUUGGGUGAGUAUUAUUAACUGUUCCCAGCACUUAUUCUCAUGAGUCGGUAUGAGGUCCAUUCCCUUGUCUCCUUGCUUAUCUCCACUAGAAUAGAAGCUCCCAGAAGGUAGGCCCUUGUCUCUUGCUAACUGCUGUAUCCCCAGACCAGUGCAAGGCACUCAGUAAGUGCUCAAUAAAUGCCUGCCAAGUGAAUGAAUGGAUGAACUGCUUCUGUAGCUGAGAACAGGGAGGUUUCAGGGAAGCGUCUCCCAGGAUGCCUUGCAUUUUUGACCACACUGGGUGGUGGCUGGACUCAGAGGAGUGGGUACAGGUGAGGAUGGAUGCAGGCCCUUGAGCCUUGGACCUCCGGCCCCUUGCCUGCCCCGGGCCAUGCUCAUGUCAGCGCUGACAGCCUGGAGGGUCUAACACUGCCCUGAUCUAACAGCUAGAGCACCCUCCAGGUCCCUGCUCCAGGGGACAGGUCCCUUCAUGUGGCAGAAAGCUCGAGGACAUGCACCAGGAGAGCCUCCAUCCUGCCUCUGCCAUUUGCAGGCUGUCACCAGGCACCAGACCUCUUUGCAGCCCAGCCCCUCAGCUGAGAAAUCAAGAUGGGAAGUACUACUUAUUGUGAGGACCGAGUGAGGCAAUGUGCUCUGCAGCUGGCCCACUGAAAGACUGGUGUGCAGUUGGACCCUGAUAAUCAAUCACUCCCAAUUGUGGGGAGAGUGGGUGCCCGCCAGUCUGGCCAGCUGAAGAAGGAUCUCCUUGUCCCAUGAUGGCUACCCAUUACAUGUCGGUGGUGGUUCCUGAAAGGCCAUGGUCUGGGCCCCCUCACCUGGUACCUUCUUCUGAAUCCUCUUCUGUGUAAGCAGAUGCCUCUGGGAAAGCUGAGCAAUGGCGCUUGGCCUCACAGAAGAGAGUUUUUCUCUUCUUGAAGGUGGGGGUUGUGUAAAAGGCCAGCACAGGACAGGAGAAAGUGCUGAAGCAGGGAGAGCAUGCCGGGAAGGACAGGCCUCCAGGGAUGGCCGGCCUUGAUUUUUAGUCUCAGCACACACCCAUCCGAGAAAGUUCCAACUGACCUCAAGAAGCUAAUGAGAACAUGGAACUGCGGCAGUGCUAGAAGGUGAUGUGUCAGUAUGCAGCAGGAUGAAAUGUGCCUACGCCAUAUGGAACCCUGGGAGAGAGGAAUUUGCUAAACAUGACACCAAAGACUAGAAUCUGUAACUGCAUUUGGUUACAUCAAUCUAAACAAAUCUUAUAACUCCAAGAACGUGGUUGGCCACAUCCAUGGUGCACAGAAUGCAAGGAAAAGAAAGAUCAGUAUCACCAUAUGAAGUGGAGGAUAGAAAUAGGCACUUCACAAAGACAUAAACCACCGGUAAGAUAUAAACAUAGGAAAAAAUUCAAUUUCACCAAUAAUCCAAGAGAUACAAAUGCAAACAAUGGCACUUUUUAAAAACCUGCCACACUGGCAAAAACUGCCCAACAUUUUAUCACUUUUUAUAAAGUGCUAAUACUCAGUACUGAUGAGAAUAUGGAAAAUGGGGAUUGGGAUUCACUGAUGGCGGGGAUCUAGAUUAAUAUAAUUUUUGGAGGACAAGUUGGUCAAAAGGUAUCAAAACUAAAAAUACCCUUUCAUUCAGAAAUCUCACUUUUCAAAUUUAUCUUUAAGAAAUUGUAGGAUAGGGGUCCCUGUGUGGCUCAGUCGGUUAAGCAUCUGCCUUCAGUUCAGGUCAUGAUCUCAGGACUCUGGCUGGGAUCGAGCCCCAUGUCGGCUCUCUGCUCAGCAGAGACCCUACUUCUCUCUCUCCCCUGCUUCUCCUCUCUCUCGCUAGCUCUCUCUCAAAUAAAUACAUAAAAUCUUAAAAAAAAAGAAAUAGUAGGAUAAGUACACAAAGAUGUAUUGCAGUUUUGUAUAUGAUAAUGAAAAAUUGGAGGAUUGCUGUCUUGCACACCUGAAACUCAUAUAACACGUGUCAACUAUACUUCAAUAAAAAUAAAGAUGCAUUAUUUGUAAAAAAUUUUUUUUGCUAAAUAAAUAUAGAGUACUAGGCAACUUGUAAAAGUAACUGCUAUUAAUCUAUCCUUAUUGGUACAGAAGAAGUACACAAUCUAUUGUUCUGUUUGAAAAAGUCUCCAGAAGCAACCCAUUGUCCAUCGAUGGAUGAAUGGAUAAGCAAAAUGUGAUGGAAUAUGGUUCAGCCUUUAAAAGGAAGGAAAAUGUGUCACAGGCUACAACAUGGAUCAACCUUGAGGACAUUACGGUUCCUGAAAGAAGCCAGUCACAAGAGAACAAAUCCUGCAUGAUUCCACUCACAUGAGGUCCCUAGAGUCACCAGACUCACAGAGACAGAAAGUAGGGUGGUGGCUGCCAGGGGCUGGGGGAGGGGACUGAGGAGUUUGUGUUUAAUGGGGAUGGAGUUUCAGUUUGGGGAGAUGAGAAAUUUUGGAAAGAGACAGGGGGAUGGCUGCACAACAAUGUGAAUUUACUUAAUGCUGCAGAACUAAACACUUAAAGGGUUAGGAGGAUUGAUUUUAUGUUAUGGUUUUGUAGCCACAAUUUUUAAAAAGUCUGUAAGAUAGUAUGUAUGAUGUGUUCCCAUUUUUGUAAUAAGCAAGAAAAUGUUAACAAUGAUGGGAUUAUGAAUGACUUUUUUUUUAUACCUGUCUGUAUUUUCUGAUUUGGGGGCAGUGAGAACAUUUACUAUUAUACGAAUACAAAAACUAUGAAAAAAUAACAUAUGAAAAAGCUGCAAAUUCAGAUCAUAUUUUUUUCUGGUUAUAAAAGUAGUAUACGUUCAUUGUGGAAAAUCUGGAAAAGUAAAAAAUAGAAUGCUAAAAAAAGAUCACUGAGCCUAGAGCCCAAUGUGGGGCUCGAUCUCAGGACAGAGAUCAUGAUACUGAGGUCAUGACCUGAGCCAAAAGCUUAACCAUCUGAGUCACCCAGGUGCUCCUAAAAAGAGAUCUCUUGUAAUCCCAUUAUUCAAUGUAAAUACUUUUAAAAAUCAUGGAUGUGAAUACUUCUUUAUGUAUUUCUAAUGUUUUCUAUAAGCCUGUUUUUCUUUACAUAAUCAUAUAUAGAAUAAUUCCCAUGUAAAUUUUGCAUCCGCUUUUCUUUAACUUUUAUCAGUAGUCUUGUGAAAACCCGAUUUAAAUUGAUAAAUAAUAUUCCACUGCACAGAUGGGUUGUAGUUCAUUAUCACUCUCCUGUGGUUGGACAUUCAGUGGUUUCUAAGUUUUCUCAGUUGUAAGCGAUGCUGGAAAGAGCAAGCCUGUAUAUAAAUCUGCCUACAGAUCUGAUCAUUUCUUUGUAAUCAGUUUCUACAAGUAGAUUUACAGACUGAAAAGUGAUGUGUAUAUUGCAAGGUUGCUUUGCUUUCUGCAAAUGUACCUCUUUACACCAGUGUUAAAACUUAAAAUGUCCUUGUCAGUUGGAUGAAAAGGGUAUCUUGUUUUAAUUUGUGUUUCUUUGAUCAGUUGUGAGGUUAGAAAUUUCCCUGUGUGUGCACUGGCCACUUGCAUGUUCUGUUUAUGUCUUUUUCCCACUUGGGUCACCAGUGUCCUUAUUGUGUUUUGAAAUGAGGAAUUUCCCCUUGAAUCUGGCAAGUGGCUAGUGUCCGGCUGGUGUGGUGCCAGCCCACUGCACUCGUGUCCUCAUGUUAAGUCCAGAAUCCUUGCACAGACUGCCCCCCACCCGUGGAGCCUGCCCAGUGGGUGCCGAUCAGCGGUCACUUCCCUGCCCCACUGCUGUUUCCUUGCUGGUGACAGCUAGUGAUGCCCUGGACUAAUAGGACAGGCACCCUGGAGAAAGGGGAUGGGAACCUCAGGUUCAAGGUUGGCCUGAAAAACACAUUAAACCUUGAGGACUUGGGCUCCUGGGUGGCUCAGAUGGUUAAGAGUCUGCCUUCGGCUCAGGUCAUGAUCUCAGGGUCCUGGGAUCGAGUCCCGCAUCGGGCUCCCUGCUCCUUGGGAGCCUGCUUCUCCCUCUGCCUUUCUCUCUCGCUCUGUCUCUCAUGAAUAAUAAAAAAAAAAAUCUUUAAAAAAAAAAACAAAACCUUGAGGACUUUAACCAGGCGGGAGUGACUCAGUAACUCCCUGUUAGCCAUCAACACCAACAUCUGCCAGCCAGAGCGAGGGGGGGCCAGAUUUCACUGGAAGGUGAUCUUGAUCGGUCUUCAUUUCUGAAUGUGAAUUCAAUUCCUUCCAUUGAAACUAUGGAAUUUUUCUCUUAGAAUUUCCAUCUGUUGUUUUGGUUUGGUUCUCAGGAUGUUCUGCUACUCGGUCUUGGUUGGGUUUUCAU